GAGAAAGUAGGGAGGAAAAAUAUCAAGCUGAGAUUUUCUUCACUAUUUGUUGAAGUUUAUUUGAAAUCAGUGACUUAAUUCGAGUCUGUAACCCGUAACGUGAAGUUUGAUUUUAUUUGUUAUUUUUUUGUCCAUUGAAAUUUGAAGAAGAAGAAGAUUAGGGUCUCUCAAAUUUUAUCCAAGAGACGUCGAAAUUGAAUAUGGAUGUAACUGUGUGCAAACUAACUGAAUAUUCGAAAGCUGAAGUGAAGGUUGGAGUGAAAUCUGAUAAGGUCAAACUUGAAACUGCGGCUAAAAAGAAGCUUGUACUGAAUCAGAAAUCGGAAAUUAGAACUAACAAAAGCUUUCAUGACUUUCAUGCAUUUGAUGAGCAAGAUAUUAGAUAUAUGCUCUAGGAAGAUAUUAGAUGUAUGCUCUAUUGUAAAAUUUAAAUUUGUUUUGAAUGCAAUUGUGAAUUGCUACAGUUUUCUUUUAUUCAAAUGCAGAGAUUUUGUUUGGUUUUUUUUAUGUUUAUGUUCAACUAUGGGAAUAUUGGCAGAAUAGUAGAGGAAUGAAAUCAGU
Long non-coding RNA from Papaver somniferum (opium poppy), 561 nucleotides. RefSeq lists it as uncharacterized. The transcript has 2 exons. Lineage: Eukaryota; Viridiplantae; Streptophyta; Magnoliopsida; Ranunculales; Papaveraceae. The record is from RefSeq and is a predicted model, not a curated record.